CUCUAAGAGAGUUUUCUGCUUGUUUGUCAUUCCUGAAUGACUUUGGUAAAAUCCAACACUCUAAAUUUAAGCUGUAACCUGGACCCAAGUUAUUAGUAGCUACUCUACAAUCUGUAUGAUCUGGGGUGAAGGAUCUUGGGUACUCAAUAAAAACAUUCUUAAUCCAGGUCCAAAAACAUGCUAAGGAAAAAGGCACUUAGGGGAGCACACUGCUCAUGCUUUUCAAGUGAUU
Molecule: long non-coding RNA, 232 nt
Filed under: Homo sapiens (human)
Lineage: Eukaryota; Metazoa; Chordata; Mammalia; Primates; Hominidae
Description: non-protein coding lnc-PABPC1-2:1
Source: RNAcentral